This 520-nucleotide small RNA is filed under the name uncultured Glomus. RNAcentral's name for it is "SSU rRNA". It matches the Rfam family "Eukaryotic small subunit ribosomal RNA", at positions 569 to 1090 of the family's 1831-position model. The record is from RNAcentral. Lineage: Eukaryota; Fungi; Glomeromycota; Glomeromycetes; Glomerales; Glomeraceae.
AGCAGCCGCGGUAAUUCCAGCUCCAAUAGCGUAUAUUAAAGUUGUUGCAGUUAAAAAGCUCGUAGUUGAAUUUCGGGAUUAAUUUACUGGUCGUGCUAUUGUACGUACUGGUUUUAUUGGUUCCUCCCUUCUGACGAACUAUGAUGUCAUUAAUUUGGUGUCAUAGGGAAUCAGGACUGUUACUUUGAAAAAAUUAGAGUGUUUAAAGCAGGCUCACGCUUGAAUACAUUAGCAUGGAAUAACGGAAUAGGACGUUUGAUUCUAUUUUGUUGGUUUCUAGGAUCGACGUAAUGAUUAAUAGGGAUAGUUGGGGGCAUUAGUAUUCAAUUGUCAGAGGUGAAAUUCUUGGAUUUAUUGAAGACUAACUACUGCGAAAGCAUUUGCCAAGGAUGUUUUCAUUAAUCAAGAACGAAAGUUAGGGGAUCGAAGACGAUCAGAUACCGUCGUAGUCUUAACCAUAAGCUAUGCCGACUAGGGAUCGGAUGAUGUUAAUUUUUUAAUGUACUCAUUCGGCGCCUUA